This 393-nucleotide ribosomal RNA is filed under the name uncultured bacterium. RNAcentral's name for it is "partial 16S ribosomal RNA". It matches the Rfam family "Bacterial small subunit ribosomal RNA", at positions 523 to 918 of the family's 1533-position model. The record is from RNAcentral.
AUACGGAGGAUCCGAGCGUUAUCCGGAUUUAUUGGGUUUAAAGGGAGCGUAGGUGGACAGUUAAGUCAGUUGUGAAAGUUUGCGGCUCAACCGUAAAAUUGCAGUUGAUACUGGCUGUCUUGAGUACAGUAGAGGUGGGCGGAAUUCGUGGUGUAGCGGUGGAAUGCUUAGAUAUCACGAAGAACUCCGAUUGCGAAGGCAGCUCACUGGACUGCAACUGACACUGAUGCUCGAAAGUGUGGGUAUCAAACAGGAUUAGAUACCCUGGUAGUCCACACAGUAAACGAUGAAUACUCGCUGUUUGCGAUAUACAGUAAGCGGCCAAGCGAAAGCAUUAAGUAUUCCACCUGGGGAGUACGCCGGCAACGGUGAAACUCAAAUGAAUUGGCGGGG